UACGUAGGGGGCGAGCGUUGUCCGGAUUCAUUGGGCGUAAAGCGCGCGUAGGCGGCUUCGUAAGUCGGCCGUGAAAUCUCCAGGCUUAACUUGGAGGGGUCGGGCGAGACUGCGGAGCUCGAGGUGGGCAGAGGGCAGUGGAAUUCCGGGUGUAGUGGUGGAAUGCGUAGAGAUCCGGAGGAACACCAGUGGCGAAGGCGGCUGCCUGGGCCUGGCCUGACGCUGAGGCGCGAAAGCCAGGGGAGCAAACGGG
This 253-nucleotide ribosomal RNA is filed under the name uncultured bacterium. Its description in RNAcentral is "partial 16S ribosomal RNA". It matches the Rfam family "Bacterial small subunit ribosomal RNA", at positions 524 to 776 of the family's 1533-position model. The record is from RNAcentral.